CACUGAACUAGGAACUGGACACUAAAAAUACAUACACAGGCGACCUCUGAUAGCAUUAGGUUUUGGAAGCAGGGUGAAGGCUUGCAAAUUGUGUUACAGCUGUGUCAUUACUCUAAUUAUUAUGGUUCAGGGGAAGGGAUUUGACAUGCUGUAUAUCCGACCUGCAGAUUCAUGAGCCAAGUUGUAGUAGCCGUUUGAGUUACUGCUUGUUGUUUCAAUGAAGAUGAUCCAGAAUCUAUAGAAUAAGAGUGUAUAUUUUGCUAAAACUGAAAACCUGGCCCCCGCUUUUUUUUGCUUAUGUUGUUUGUGUUGUGUUUCAUAAAGCCAUCAGCAGUUAAUGAUCUUGUGAUUUACUCAGACAGAAGAGCACCCACCAAAAAAAAAGGUUGAAAACAGAAUUGAAAGUUAUGUUACAACAUAAACUUGGCUUGUGAAAAAGAAACAGUAAUUUUCUAAUGCCACCCAGUUUUCUCGGGGUGAAAAUCAGGACCUUUCCAUGUUGCAAAUAGAUACCAAGUGAACAAAGAUCUUAGUGUGACAUUUUAAAUGCUCCUGAUAUUUUUAAAUGCUUACUCCCAAGCCUUAAAGGGUUUUGUCCGUAGAGAGAUGGGAAAUUUGAGUGGUUUUUUUUUUCUUUUUUAGAUUUUCUAUUAUUUAUAAAAUUCAUGUUGGAAAUCGUGAAUAUUGUGUUAGAUCCUUACAUCAAAGUGGUCAUAGCCUUGAUAGAAAGAAAAUACAGACAACCACUAUCCCCUUAGGUUUAUUUGAAUGCACUUUUUUCUAUGUGAAUAAAAUUUUCUUCUUGAAAUAUCUGUAGCAGGGAGUGAUUUUUGUUGAGAGGCAGUGUGCAUUUUUAAACUUUAUUCCUAUUUUAUUUAUACUCCACUGAAAUAGAUUUAAGAAACAAAAUAUAUUUAAGCAAGGAUCUCCAUUACUUAUGAGAAUUAUGUAUUGUCAAAUUUUAAGUCAUCAUUUUAUUCAAGCAAUCCAAUUAAGGGAGUCUCUUUUGAAGAAGUGGGAAACGUGUCAAGCUCAAACUCUGUGCGGUGUAAAGGUGUCUAUUUCUCAGAAAACCCAGUGUGUUUCAGUUCUUAGAGCAGACACUAUAAAAGAGUCCGUGUCUAAUCCUGUGAGUGAAAUUCUCUUAAAAGAGAAUGCUGAAUACAGAAGAAGGAAUUAGUGAUAGCUAAGAAAAUGUCCUUCUCCAUUCACUUUACAGUAUGGCCACUGUUCCCCCCAGCUCAGAUAGCUCUACUUGGAGCACAAUCCCAGGGAUUUCAGGAUCAAGUGGGAAGAAACACAUCUCAGUGACAGGCAUGGCAUUAAACCUGCAGAAUGGCAUUUUAUUGAGUACUUAUUUGUGUUUUCAGGGCUUCUAAAACACAAUAAUGUGUAACCUAUGAGUGAUAUAAAUGCAUUUCAUUAACAGGCAGUACAGAGUUUCAAACGGAAGUAAG
This 1457-nucleotide long non-coding RNA is filed under the name Sus scrofa (pig). RNAcentral describes it as "lncRNA (ENSSSCG00000056045.1)". The record is from RNAcentral. Lineage: Eukaryota; Metazoa; Chordata; Mammalia; Artiodactyla; Suidae.